CAAGUGACGUCAUCCGGAGCGCCGGAAUGUUAGACAGGACACGAGACAAUUCGGGAGGUUAUCGAAUGUUUGCAAGUGAACGAGGAUUGAGAACAAUUUAGAAAAAAAAAUCCCAUCUCUGAAACACAGAGGGACCAGUUUGCCUUGGGUGACCCUACCAGGGGCAUAAAGCCCCGGACAACAGAGCUCCGAGGAUCAUUGGGACACGCAAACCCCUCCACCACGAUAAGGUGGCGGUUAAAGGAGGGAUAGAAAAAGCUGCUGCUAUGAUUACAAACGAAUGUUUAAAAGGAGACGUGUGAGGUUGCCAUAAAUUCCAGAAAAGUAAUGGCUGUAAGUAUUAAGAAGGAGGAGUGUGAGUGGGAGUCCAUCCACCCUCAACAGGAGAGUCUCUGCAUUAAGGAGGAGGAGGAGGAGCAGGACUGUGAGACAGGGUUAGUGAGCAUUAAAGAAGAGGCUGAAGAGACAUCUGUCAGCAUCGAGACACACAUUUGUAAAAGUGUGCAGAAUGUCA
This is a long non-coding RNA of Erpetoichthys calabaricus (reedfish), 514 nucleotides long. RefSeq lists it as uncharacterized. NCBI's taxonomy places the organism in Eukaryota, Metazoa, Chordata, Cladistia, Polypteriformes, Polypteridae. The record is from RefSeq and is a predicted model, not a curated record. The transcript is spliced from 3 exons.